GAUGAAGAACGUAGUGAAAUGCGAUAAGUAAUGUGAAUUGCAGAAUUCAGUGAAUCAUCGAAUCUUUGAACGCACAUUGCGCCCGCCAGUAUUCUGGCGGGCAUGCCUGUUCGAGCAUCAUUACAACCCUCAGGCCCCCGGGCCUGGCGUUGGGGAUCGGCGGAGCCCCCCGUGGGCACACGCCGUCCCCCAAAUACAGUGGCGGUCCCGCCGCAGCUUCCAUCGCGUAGUAGCUAACACCUCGCGACUGGAGAGCGGCGCGGCCACGCCGUAAAACACCCAACUCUUCUGAAGUUGACCUCGAAUCAGGUAGGAAUACCCGCUGAACUUAAGCAUAUCAAUAAGCGGAGGA
This 352-nucleotide unclassified non-coding RNA is filed under the name soil metagenome. Its description in RNAcentral is "partial contains 5.8S ribosomal RNA, internal transcribed spacer 2, and large subunit ribosomal RNA". The stretch from base 1 to 120 matches the Rfam family "5.8S ribosomal RNA", at positions 35 to 154 of the family's 154-position model. The record is from RNAcentral.